AGGCAGAGCUACUGAUGAGCUGCUCAGUGUGGAGAUGAAGCAGGAACCAAGACUGAUGUCAGUGUUGCUUGACUGGUGUGGAGAACUGGAGUCCACCUGCUGGGAUGUGACCAGGCACUUCUGCUCAGCCUGAGUUUGAGGAUGAAAUUUAAACUGUCAAACAUUGAUUACAUG
This is a long non-coding RNA of Scomber japonicus (chub mackerel), 174 nucleotides long. RefSeq lists it as uncharacterized. Lineage: Eukaryota; Metazoa; Chordata; Actinopteri; Scombriformes; Scombridae. The record is from RefSeq and is a predicted model, not a curated record. The transcript has 3 exons.